GACGAACGCUGGCGGCGUGCCUAAUACAUGCAAGUAGAACGCUGAAGGAGGAGCUUGCUCCUCUGGAUGAGUUGCGAACGGGUGAGUAACGCGUAGGUAACCUGCCUGGUAGCGGGGGAUAACUAUUGGAAACGAUAGCUAAUACCGCAUAACAGUAGAUGCUGCAUGACAUUUGCUUAAAAGGUGCAAUUGCAUCACUACCAGAUGGACCUGCGUUGUAUUAGCUAGUUGGUGGGGUAACGGCUCACCAAGGCGACGAUACAUAGCCGACCUGAGAGGGUGAUCGGCCACACUGGGACUGAGACACGGCCCAGACUCCUACGGGAGGCAGCAGUAGGGAAUCUUCGGCAAUGGACGGAAGUCUGACCGAGCAACGCCGCGUGAGUGAAGAAGGUUUUCGGAUCGUAAAGCUCUGUUGUAAGAGAAGAACGAGUGUGAGAGUGGAAAGUUCACACUGUGACGGUAUCUUACCAGAAAGGGACGGCUAACUACGUG
RNAcentral lists this ribosomal RNA (495 nucleotides) under uncultured bacterium. Its description in RNAcentral is "partial 16S ribosomal RNA". It matches the Rfam family "Bacterial small subunit ribosomal RNA", at positions 28 to 507 of the family's 1533-position model. The record is from RNAcentral.